RNAcentral lists this ribosomal RNA (818 nucleotides) under uncultured Thermotogae bacterium. Its description in RNAcentral is "bacterial SSU rRNA". It matches the Rfam family "Bacterial small subunit ribosomal RNA", at positions 33 to 860 of the family's 1533-position model. Lineage: Bacteria; Thermotogati; Thermotogota; Thermotogae. The record is from RNAcentral.
ACGCNGGCGGCGUGCUUGACACAUGCAAGUCGAACGGUAUGUGGCAACACAUAGAGUGGCGAACGGGUGAGUAACACGUGGGAACGUACCUUCUGCAGGGGGAUAACUGACCGAAAGGACAGCUAAUACCGCAUAAGACCGAGAGGAGAAAGGUGCAACAGCAUCGGCAGAGGAGCGGCCCGCGGACCAUCAGCUAGUUGGUGGGGUAAGAGCCUACCAAGGCAACGACGGAUAGCCGGCGUGAGAGCGUGGCCGGCCACAAGGACACUGAGAUACGGGUCCUACUCCUACGGGAGGCAGCAGUGCGGAAUUUUAGAUAAUGGAGGCAACUCUGAUCUAGCGACGCCGCGUGCAGGAAGAAGGUCUUCGGAUUGUAAACUGCUGUGGUAAGGGAAAAAUGCCAUGUAGAGUGGAAAGCUACAUGGAGGGAUGGUACUUUACUAGAAAGCCCCGGCUAACUACGUGCCAGCAGCCGCGGUAAUACGUAGGGGGCGAGCGUUACCCGGAAUCACUGGGCGUAAAGGGAGCGUAGGUGGCCUGACAUGUCGACUGUGAAAACCCGGAGCUCAACUCCGGACUUGCAGUUGAAACUGCCAGGCUUGAGGACGGUAGAGGAAGACGGAACUGCCAGUGUAGGGGUAAAAUCCUUAGAUAUUGGCAGGAACGCCGGUGACGAAGGUGGUUUUCUGGGCCGGUUCUGACACUGAUGCUCGAAAGCCAGGGGAGCGAACGGGAUUAGAUACCCCGGUAGUCCUGGCCCUAAACGAUGUUCACUAGGUGUGGGGAGCGGAAAGCUUUCCGUGCUAAAGCUAACGCGA